AGUGAACGCUGGCGGUAGGCCUAACACAUGCAAGUCGAACGGCAGCACAGUAAGAGCUUGCUCUUACGGGUGGCGAGUGGCGGACGGGUGAGGAAUACAUCGUAAUCUACUUUUUCGUGGGGGAUAACGUAGGGAAACUUACGCUAAUACCGCAUACGACCUACGGGUGAAAGCAGGGGAUCUUCGGACCUUGCGCGAUUGAAUGAGCCGAUGUCGGAUUAGCUAGUUGGCGGGGUAAAGGCCCACCAAGGCGACGAUCCGUAGCUGGUCUGAGAGGAUGAUCAGCAACACUGGAAAUGAGACACGGUCCAGACUCCUACGGGAGGCAGCAGUGGGGAAUAUUGGACAAUGGGCGCAAGCCUGAUCCAGCCAUACCGCGUGGGUGAAGAAGGCCUUCGGGUUGUAAAGCCCUUUUGUUGGGAAAGAAAAGCAGCAGGUUAAUACCCCGCUGUUCUGACGGUACCCAAAGAAUAAGCACCGGCUAACUUCGU
RNAcentral lists this ribosomal RNA (491 nucleotides) under uncultured bacterium. RNAcentral's name for it is "partial 16S ribosomal RNA". It matches the Rfam family "Bacterial small subunit ribosomal RNA", at positions 29 to 506 of the family's 1533-position model. The record is from RNAcentral.